Molecule: ribosomal RNA, 746 nt
Filed under: uncultured bacterium
Lineage: Bacteria
Description: bacterial SSU rRNA
Rfam family: Bacterial small subunit ribosomal RNA
Source: RNAcentral
AGAGUUUGAUCAUGGCUCAGAACGAACGCUGGCGGCAUGCCUAACACAUGCAAGUCGAACGCCUGUAGCAAUACAGGAGUGGCAGACGGGUGAGUAACACGUAGGAAUCUACCCAGUAGCUCGGAAUAACCGCGGGAAACUGCGGCUAAUACCGGAUACGCCCCACGGGGGAAAGGAGCAAUCCACUAUUGGAGGAGCCUGCGUCCGAUUAGCUAGUUGGCGGGGUAACGGCCCACCAAGGCGACGAUCGGUAGCUGGUUUGAGAGAACGACCAGCCACACUGGGACUGAGACACGGCCCAGACUCCUACGGGAGGCAGCAGUGGGGAAUAUUGGACAAUGGGGGAAACCCUGAUCCAGCAAUGCCGCGUGGGUGAUGAAGGCCUUCGGGUUGUAAAGCCCUUUUGGCGGGGACGAUGAUGACGGUACCCGCAGAAGAAGCCCCGGCUAACUUCGUGCCAGCAGCCGCGGUAAUACGAAGGGGGCUAGCGUUGUUCGGAAUUACUGGGCGUAAAGGGCGCGUAGGCGGCUUCGAUAGUCGGGUGUGAAAUGCCUGGGCUCAACCCAGGAACUGCACUCGAAACUCCGAGGCUAGAGUGUGGGAGAGGAUAGUGGAAUUCCCAGUGUAGAGGUGAAAUUCGUAGAUAUUGGGAAGAACACCGGUGGCGAAGGCGGCUAUCUGGACCACAACUGACGCUGAGGCGCGAAAGCGUGGGGAGCAAACAGGAUUAGAUACCCUAGUAGUCC